CCCAAACCCUAGCCGCCACUUCCCACCACCUCCUCUCCUUCCCUCGCUCUGCUAUCUCCAUGCCCAGGCCCGCCUCGCCUCCUCACGCGAGCCACCGCUGUCGCCGCACCAUCAUACUGUCGUCGCCAUCCUCCUCUCGCUCCGGUCGAUGCAUCCGCCAACGAGGAGGCCGGGACCGUCGGAUCCGGUGACCCCGGCCUCAUUGUCGGUGGAUCCGGCCGCCCGGAGGCGAGGGGAGACCGGCUAUCACCCUCUCUACUCUUCUCCUUCUACGUCCGGCACCGCUACAACGACGGCCGCGCGGAUCGCGUGAGGCAACGGGUGGCUGCUCCCUUCUCUUCUCCCUUCUAUCUCCACUAUUCCUUUGCAGAUCGGCGGAGGCCUGCAACAACAACGGCCGCGCGGGCGAGCAAUCGAGGAGGCCGGGAAUCACCAGAUCCGGAAGGACGGCGGCCCGAUUCGGAGAGGGAGCAACCCGAUCUGUGUCAUUGAGGCUCAUUGUAAGUGUCGACGGCGGCCGUUCCUUCACAGUGAUCCAGGGUCGUUGGGUCUGUUGAGCUCGGUAUCGACGGCAGCAGUAGCUCGGGCAAGAUGGAAGAAACGUGUUAGACACGGCCUCCUCCGAGAGCAUACACCAGCGACGUGCAGGAGGCCGAGGCCAAAGCCGAUCUUCCCCAACCCCAUCUGGCAUUAUAACUUGUAAGUUUUUGUUCUUUUUGGUGUUCUUGGUAGACCAAUGAAAAUGGUGAUGGUCUAUCGUGCAAAUUGAUGAAGGUAGGGAUGAUAUGAUGUGUAUAUUGAGUAUGAAUGCAUAUGCACUUUUGCGUGUGUAGAUGUAAUACAUGUUCUUGAGCACUUUACAGGUUUUGUGGUGGUGUUUAUUACUGACUGACAAAAAUCUGAGAUGCAUGUUCAGUUAUUUACAGUGAUACACAUGAAUGCGGAUAGAUAGAAUGCUAUUGUUUUUCUCUUCUAUGAGACCUCUUAAGUACUAAUCUAUUGAAUUGUUUGAUACUAUAUCAUAUUGCAUAUGUAUUCAUCUAUUUUGAUUCAAAGAUAUACGAGAUCCCAACAACGCAUCCACUAUCGACCAGGUACAAAAGCUUGAUUUGUUGAAUGCUUGCUUCCAGCAAUGUAUCAUGCUCUCUAUUUCCAUUGGUGAUGUGUAGGGAUUGGGAGCAGAUUCAUUCGCAGGUCAGCAAGCUAGCUGAAAAUUAGGUGAGAGGCGACAGUUGGUAGCGAGAAGGUCAGCCUGAUGGUGCAGAACUCUGGCUUGAGGAAGACAUGCUUCAGUGUUUCUCCAUGCACCGACAACACUAUCAUCCUGCCACCACAACACACAAAUCUGGCGAUGCUUCCACCUGCAUCUGCAUGCCCCUGGCUCCCUGCAUACAAGAAAAAAGAGUAUUCUUUUCCUGUCUCGGUAAUGCACUUGGCUAAGAAAGUUGGUGGGCAGUAAGCUGCUCAUGCUUCUUGAUCACCAAGUUGCUCAUGCUCCUUGAUCAGAACAUAAAUGGUUAAUUAAAGAUGCACAUGAGAAAGGCUCGAUUAUGCCUGGUGUUAUGGUGCUGAAUUGCUGAUCAAAAAAACCGGUGGUAAUGUUGUACCAUUUUGGUAUUGGUUGAUAUUUCACAAAGGUUGCAGGCCUCUUGCUAUUGACAGAUGAGUGAGCAAACAUGGAUGGUGAUGGUAUUCUGACAUCUCAAUGUGAACCAGUCAACCAGUACAGAGUUGAUCGCUAAUCCAUGUCAUGGACUCUAAAAGCAAAUGGUAAGCUUGGUGUGAUGCUUGCUUUGGUAGAUGGAGCUGAGUUCUUCAGUAAUAGAUGUGUUCAUGGCCUUCAGGAUUUUAUGGCAGGAAAGCUCCCAUAAGCUUCUUGGGCGGUGCCUACUUGAAUGACUGGGAGAACCAUCUAACAACAAUAUUUCAUUAGGUUAGACUGCAGCAGUAAUGAAAGGUGCUGAUGAUGGAUCAUUUAGGAUAUUGUGUGCUUUGCCAGCGUUUCAGGUCCGGAUGCGGCAUCCACGUGGGCAGGCCGUUACCAUGAAGAUCAUGCCAUCGGAUUAGUUGUCCAUGUGCAUAGAUCAAAGAAAAAAAGAAGGUACAGAUGGCAAGUAUAUACUGAAGAUCUAUAUCUGUGGCCUACUACAGCUCAACUGUUGUAAACAAUACCUGUGAUGCAUCGUUCUUCCAAAGUUUCAUAGAUGGCCUUUGCAUUAAAUAGUAUAUCCAUAUCUUUUUUUAGUGAAUAGUACUUGCAAUUUUGAGUGUGUGCUUUCCAUCUCAUAAGGUUUCCAUGUUUCAUAAUGUCCUCUUGAGUUUAAUUUGAGUUUUCAACUAUUGGAGGAACUAUAAAUAGCACUAGCUAAAUAUGUUGCACACGUGAUUCAUGUAUUCAGCUCCUUUACUACCAUAUAUAAGUUUUUGGCACAUUGGAUCUAUGAUUUUGCCACAGCAGGGUUAAAAUCAAAUUGCUCUGAGAGAAUUGGACCUUGGAUUUGGAUAUCCAUCCAGCCAGGUCAAUAGUAUGUGACUCUUAGGCUCCAAAAAAUAAUUGGCGGUGAUAGAACUUAGAUUAUGUCAAAAAAUGACGAACUUGUACAUUUUUAAUUUUUCACUGUAAGUAGUUGAAGGUGUUUUCUAUUUUUUUUCUUCGCUUCAUCAUUCAAAAGGUGUAAUUUCUUCAGUAUUACCAUGUUUUUUUUAGGGUUCGCUAUUACCAUGUUGACAUGAGUACUUUGUAACAUGGCAAGUUGAGAGUUGAAUUUCACAAUUGAGAGUUGCUUACAUUUGUAAUAGUUUUAGUAAUUUUGGAAUGAACGUGCAGCUUGGAAUGUAUAAUGUUUUUUGGUUUGAAAUGCCAAAUAUAUAUGUAUAUUGGUUUAUUAAAAAAACUUCAAUUCCAUUUGCACACUCUAGAUAUUUGCGACGCUUCAGUUAUGUAUAAUUUUAGCCUUGCGCGAAUCUUUUUGAUAGAUUGCUGGAGCUAAAGCACAAGCUUUACCCUUUUUUUCGAAUAAGCUAGAAAUAGCGUAAAAAGGUUAGUGUUAGAGGUUUACAUAUGUUUUGACUUGUUAUUCUUGUAGAAUUGAUAGUCUUCUACCAUAAUGCAAAUUCUUGUAGUUGCGUGUCUUUUUUCAUGAUUUAACCUGCUACACGAACGUAUCAAUGAAAAACUCACAUCUUCUGAUGCCACUGGCGCGGCGCUCAAAGCACGCGUUCACCUCUAGUUAUAUAUAAUUUUGAGAUACCGGUCACCACCGACGCCGUCUUCACCACAGGUACUGCUUCAUUUCUUCUGCUCCCUCCUUCCUCUUCUCUUUUUUAUUCUGAACUUUAUACAAUCUUUCAUGUGGUAGCUAGGUCUUUUAUCUAUACUUUCCCUGCAUCUUAUUGUUCUUGUUCUGAACUAAUAUAUCUGGAUUGGUGAGAGGUGAAUGGUGUCCAGUUGUUUUCAAGGAUUUUUUUUUUGAGUCCCACUCCGGUGCUUCUACUUGUAGUAGAGAGUAAUCUACACCGUUGAUUGUAUUUGAUUGAAUGGUUGAGAUUUAGGGCCUGUUUGGUACAACUCCAACUCCUAAAUUUAACUCCAGGAGUUGGGUCUGGAGUGGAGUUGUGGAGCUGCCUAAACCCAGCUCCACAACUCUAGUUCAUUUUGUGAGAGAGCUCCACCUAGCUCCACUCCCAGUUUUGGUGGAGCUGAAAUUGUUUGGCUGAGCUCCAACUCCAGGAGGGGUGGAGCUGGAGCUGUGCCAAACAGGCCCUUACUUCUACUUCAACACACCUAAUGGGAGUAAAAAUGUGGAGGGAUAAUUUUGUCCAUGAAAAAUGUUGUGCGGAGUGGUAAAAUGGUAAUUUUCCAAUUGCUAACCCUAGCAGGGUCGAAAUGGAUUGGCCUCGCGCCCGUCAUCCUCCCUCGUCGCCUCAGCCGCCGCCCCCCUUCUCGCUGCCUCCACCACCCUCCGCCGCCUCCAACGCCUGCCCCGCCCUCCCCGACUCUGCGCCCGUCCCCCUCUCUCGCCGCCUCCGUCGCCUACCUCGUCGCCUCCACGCCCGUCCCCUUCUCUCGCCGUCUCCAUGGUCAUGCGGGUGUUCCGACCAGAGCCCAUCGAUGAGACACCGGAGCAUGCCCGCGUUCUCACCGCCGCAAACUCGCCCAACAGCAUCAGACUGUUGCUGUUGCCUGUUGUCGGUCUGGUGGUGCAGAGCUUGAUUUUUGGGGGGAUGGGGCUCCAUGAGCCUGCUAUGAGUGAAGCCAUCGUCCAAUGAUCUCUAAUGAAUUUUCAUUAGUAUUCCCCACAAAAAAUUGAGGUGUUUGUUCCGUCAGUGUCCUACCUAGAUAGUGUUUGUUGUUUUCCAUACACGCAUGGGGAUGUGGCUCCGCUAUAUCAGUUACGCCAGCAUGACCUUUUGGUGUGUAUGCCUGAACAGUUUGUGGGGCUUCGGAUUUGGAUCCUAGCUUGCACUUAAUUUGCUUUUAAACAUUUGACCCCCACCUAAAUGUGAGCAGAUAGAUAUCCAUAAUCGAAUGGAAGAGUUAAAAUUAGUAAAGAAAUUUAGUAUUGAAAGUAUUCGUUUUUAUUUAGCUCUGUGGAUGCAUCCAAUCCAUAUAUAUUAUGAUUGCCGGCAACUGCUUUUUGGCUA
This is a non-coding RNA of Oryza sativa Japonica Group (Japanese rice), 4644 nucleotides long. NCBI's taxonomy places the organism in Eukaryota, Viridiplantae, Streptophyta, Magnoliopsida, Poales, Poaceae. The record is from RefSeq and is a predicted model, not a curated record.